GAUGAACGCUGGCGGCGUGCCUAAUACAUGCAAGUCGAGCGAACAGACGAGGAGCUUGCUCCUCUGACGUUAGCGGCGGACGGGUGAGUAACACGUGGAUAACCUACCUAUAAGACUGGGAUAACUUCGGGAAACUGGAGCUAAUACCGGACAAUAUAUUGAACCGCAUGGUUCAAUAGUGAAAGACGGUUUUGCUGUCACUUAUAGAUGGAUCCGCGCCGCAUUAGCUAGUUGGUAAGGUAACGGCUUACCAAGGCAACGAUGCGUAGCCGACCUGAGAGGGUGAUCGGCCACACUGGAACUGAGACACGGUCCAGACUCCUACGGGAGGCAGCAGUAGGGAAUCUUCCGCAAUGGGCGAAAGCCUGACGGAGCAACGCCGCGUGAGUGAUGAAGGUCUUCGGAUCGUAAAACUCUGUUAUUAGGGAAGAACAAAUGUGUAAGUAACUAUGCACGUCUUGACGGUACCUAAUCAGAAAGCCACGGCUAACUACGUG
RNAcentral lists this ribosomal RNA (497 nucleotides) under uncultured bacterium. RNAcentral describes it as "partial 16S ribosomal RNA". It matches the Rfam family "Bacterial small subunit ribosomal RNA", at positions 28 to 507 of the family's 1533-position model. The record is from RNAcentral.